RNAcentral lists this long non-coding RNA (798 nucleotides) under Homo sapiens (human). RNAcentral's name for it is "HSALNT0306526". Lineage: Eukaryota; Metazoa; Chordata; Mammalia; Primates; Hominidae. The record is from RNAcentral.
AGCUCUAUGCUAACUUGCGUGAGACAUCUGUGCACAAUCCAUCCAGCUGUGAUUAAAUUCCUGGUUUCAGUGUUUGUGUGUGUGUGUUUCAAUUCAAAAAUUAAAGGCAAAUUCCUGUGGAAAGAGAUACUUGGAAAACGUCUGCAAAUCUAAAAACGCUGGACAUUUUAUAUGAAACAAGCAUAAGAAGACUCCAAAAGGUAGAGACAAGGCAGAAUUGCUGGGGAACUUGAGACCAAAGGAACAACACAUUAGUCAGUCUGAUAUCCACCACCCAGUUCUCCAGGUGGAAGAAUAAUCAAAGAGCCUUGGGGGAAAGAGGGAUUCUCAUGGUUGAAGAUGAUGAAGAUGUGAAGGCUGGAUUUGAUAAUGAAGAGUCUUCUUUGUGUUCUCUCAUUAUUUAUGCCACAUCUGCCUCUCAGCAUUUGUGUCAAUGAGUCACUGUAAUUACAGCCGUUGGAUAAUUUCCUCCGUUUUACAACACAAACCCGACUGUGUGAGUGCUCCAUCAGAGAAAAACAUUUAUUUCCUUGCAGCACCAUCAGGCAGCAAGGUCCAGCUUUCUUGAGACGUGGUUAUUAGCCAAGUCAGAACAAAUGGCUUCUGUUCUUACUCACGCUAACUGAAAGUGAGACUUGAGGAGCUUAGCUGAUUACGGAGACACAAAGGAUCAGAAUUCUUUUUUCUAUAUAAAAGCCAGAAUUUUGACUGAGGAUCUUGCUUAAAAAAUGAUUUAUGGAAAAAUGAACUAUGCUGACCCUGAAAUGGAGGGGUGGGGGUAAACUGGGGAGAAUCACG